AACGUAGGACGCAAGCGUUAUCCGGAGUUACUGGGCGUAAAGCGCGGGCAGGCGGCUCGAUGCGUCUGAUGUGAAAUCUCCUCGCUCAACGGGGAGAGGCCAUUGGAAACGGUCGAGCUGGAGGGCAGUAGAGGUAGGCGGAAUUCCCGGUGUAGUGGUGAAAUGCGUAGAUAUCGGGAGGAACACCAGUGGCGAAGGCGACUACCUGGCCUGUUCUUGACGCUGAGGCGCGAAAGCUAGGGGAGCAAACGGG
RNAcentral lists this ribosomal RNA (253 nucleotides) under uncultured bacterium. RNAcentral's name for it is "partial 16S ribosomal RNA". It matches the Rfam family "Bacterial small subunit ribosomal RNA", at positions 524 to 776 of the family's 1533-position model. The record is from RNAcentral.